GACGGGGGAUGCAAGCGUUAUUCGGAAUCACUGGGCGUAAAGGGCGCGUAGGCGGACGGCACAGACAGGCGUGAAAUUCCUGGGCUCAACCUGGGGACUGCGUUUGAGACGUGUUGUCUUGAGUAUGGAAGAGGGUUGUGGAAUUUCCAGUGUAGAGGUGAAAUUCGUAGAUAUUGGAAAGAACACCGGUGGCGAAGGCGGCACCCUGGUCCAUUACUGACGCUGAGGCGCGAAAGCGUGGGGAGCAAACAGG
RNAcentral lists this ribosomal RNA (253 nucleotides) under uncultured bacterium. RNAcentral describes it as "partial 16S ribosomal RNA". It matches the Rfam family "Bacterial small subunit ribosomal RNA", at positions 524 to 776 of the family's 1533-position model. The record is from RNAcentral.